Molecule: ribosomal RNA, 1519 nt
Filed under: bacterium WWH38
Lineage: Bacteria
Description: bacterial SSU rRNA
Rfam family: Bacterial small subunit ribosomal RNA
Source: RNAcentral
GAUGAACGCUGGCGGCGUGCCUAAGAUAUGCAAGUCGAGCGGUAAGGCUCUCACAGAUUAUUCGACAGAGCCAGGUCUUUGCGGUGAUUUUCCAAUUGGAAAAUCAUCCAAAAUCAUUUCCGAAGGAAAUGAAGGCCUGGCGGCAGACUUAAUUUAUUAAGUCGGUCGAGUAAUGUGUGAGAGUACACGAGCGGCGGACGGCUGAGUAACGCGUAGGAACAUGCCCUAUAGUGAGGAAUAAGCCCGGGAAACCGGGUCUAAUGCCGCAUAAUCUCUUCGGAGGAAAGCAGCAAUGCGCUAAAGGAGUGGCCUGCGUAUGAUUAGCUUGUUGGUGAGGUAAAGGCUCACCAAGGCGAUGAUCAUUAGCUGGUCUGAGAGGAUGAUCAGCCAGACUGGGACUGAGACACGGCCCAGACCCCUACGGGGGGCAGCAAUUAGGAAUAUUACGCAAUGGGGGAAACCCUGACGGAGCGACGCCGCGUGCAGGAGGAAGGCCUUCGGGUUGUAAACUGCUUUUCUCUGUGACGAUUAUGACGGUAGCAGAGGAAUAAGGGCCUGCUAACUACGUGCCAGCAGCCGCGGUCAUACGUAGGGCCCAAGCGUUAUCCGGAAUUACUGGGCGUAAAGAGUUGCGUAGGUGGCAUAGUAAGCAGAUAGUGAAAGCGUGCGGCUCAACCGCAUAUCCGCUAUCUGAACUGCUAAGCUUGAGCACGAGAGAGGUAACUGGAAUUCCCGGUGUAGGAGUGAAAUCCGUAGAUAUCGGGAGGAACACCGAUGGCGUAGGCAGGUUACUGGCUCGUUGCUGACACUAAGGCACGAAAGCGUGGGGAGCGAACGGGAUUAGAUACCCCGGUAGUCCACGCCGUAAACGAUGGAUGCUAGCUGUUAUCAGUAUCGACCCUGGUAGUAGCGAAGCUAACGCGUUAAGCAUCCCGCCUGUGGAGUACGGCCGCAAGGCUAAAACAUAAAGGAAUUGACGGGGACCCGCACAAGCGGUGGAGCGUGUUGUUUAAUUCGACGGUAAGCGAAGAACCUUACCAGGGUUUGACAUCCCGAUCGCCGUUUUCCGAAAGGAAAACUUCAUUUAGUUGGAUCGGUGACAGGUGAUGCAUGGCCGUCGUCAACUCGUGUCGUGAGAUGUAGGGUUAAGUCCCUCAACGAGCGCAACCCUUAUAGUCAGUUGAAUUUUUCUGGCUAGACUGCCCCGGUAACGGGGAGGAAGGAGGGGAUGAUGUCAGGUCAUUAUUUCCCUUACACCCUGGGCUACAAACACGCUACAAUGGCCGGUACAAAGGGCUGCCAAGCAGCAAUGCGGAGCAAAUCCCAUCAAAGCCGGUCCCAGUUCGGAUUGGGGGCUGAAAUUCGCCCCCAUGAAGCCGGAAUCGCUAGUAAUGGCAGGUCAGCACACUGCCGUGAAUACGUUCUCGGGUCUUGUACACACCGCCCGUCAAACCAUGAAAGUCGGGGGCACCCGAAGUGUCACAUUGGUGAUCCUAAGGUGAACUCGAUGAUUGGGGUU